RNAcentral lists this ribosomal RNA (424 nucleotides) under uncultured Delftia sp. RNAcentral's name for it is "bacterial SSU rRNA". It matches the Rfam family "Bacterial small subunit ribosomal RNA", at positions 356 to 774 of the family's 1533-position model. Lineage: Bacteria; Pseudomonadati; Pseudomonadota; Betaproteobacteria; Burkholderiales; Comamonadaceae. The record is from RNAcentral.
GGGGAAUUUUGGACAAUGGGCGAAAGCCUGAUCCAGCAAUGCCGCGUGCAGGAUGAAGGCCUUCGGGUUGUAACUUCCUUUGUACGGAACGAAAAAGCCCCUUCUCAUACAGGGGGCCCAUGACGGUACCGUUAGAAUAAGCACCGGGUAAACACGUGCCAGCAGCCGGGUAAUACGUAGGGUGCGAGCGUUAAUCGGAAUUACUGGGCGUAAAGCGUGCGCAGGCGGUUAUGUAAGACAGAUGUGAAAUCCCCGGGCUCAACCUGGGAACUGCAUUUGUGACUGCAUGGCUAGAGUACGGUAGAGGGGGAUGGAAUUCCGCGUGUAGCAGUGAAAUGCGUAGAUAUGCGGAGGAACACCGAUGGCGAAGGCAAUCCCCUGGACCUGUACUGACGCUCAUGCACGAAAGCGUGGGGAGCAAACA